UGCAGAAACUAUGUAUUCUAAUACAGGGGUUGGCCAAAGGGUGCUUAGCUGGUAGACUACAACAACUGAAGCUUUGAUUGCCAGGCGCCAUGGGAGUCUUAUUUCUAAUUGAAUGGUCUACCUUUUGGCUACGGCCAUUCAUUUGUAUUUGCUAACUUUUACAGUCGAAAUAUACCCCCUUUUCAGUUUUUUUCAGCUUCAUUUCGACAAAGGAG
This is a non-coding RNA of Pelobates cultripes (western spadefoot toad), 215 nucleotides long. Lineage: Eukaryota; Metazoa; Chordata; Amphibia; Anura; Pelobatidae. The record is from the annotation of a GenBank genome assembly.